Molecule: ribosomal RNA, 595 nt
Filed under: uncultured Bacteroidota bacterium
Lineage: Bacteria; Pseudomonadati; Bacteroidota
Description: bacterial SSU rRNA
Rfam family: Bacterial small subunit ribosomal RNA
Source: RNAcentral
CNACUUACCUAUCAGAGGGGGAUAGCCCGGCGAAAGUCGGAUUAAUACCCCAUAAAACAGGGGUCCCGCAUGGGAAUAUUUGUUAAAGAUUCAUCGCUGAUAGAUAGGCAUGCGUUCCAUUAGGCAGUUGGCGGGGUAACGGCCCACCAAACCGACGAUGGAUAGGGGUUCUGAGAGGAAGGUCCCCCACAUUGGUACUGAGACACGGACCAAACUCCUACGGGAGGCAGCGGUGAGGAAUAUUGGUCAAUGGCCGAGAGGCUAAACCAGCCAAGUCGCGUGAAGGAAGAAGGAUCUAUGGUUUGUAACUUCUUUUAUAGGGGAAUAAAGUGGAGGACGUGUCCUUUUUUGUAUGUACCCUAUGAAUAAGCAUCGGCUAACUCCGUGCCAGCAGCCGCGGUAAUACGGAGGAUGCGAGCGUUAUCCGGAUUUAUUGGGUUUAAAGGGUGCGUAGGUGGUGAUUUAAGUCAGCGGUGAAAGUUUGUGGCUCAACCAUAAAAUUGCCGUUGAAACUGGGUUACUUGAGUGUGGUUGAGGUAGGCGGAAUGCGUGGUGUAGCGGUGAAAUGCAUAGAUAUCACGAAGAACUNNNAUUG